CCCAAUGAAGAUUGCGUGCUUGACUACAAAAUCAGAUUUGGAUUCUACUUAGUGGCAGACGGGUGAGGUAACACGUGGGUAACCUACCUCGGAGACUGGGAUAACAGUUAGAAAUGAUUGCUAAUACCGGAUAAUUCAUAGUUAGAUAACUAGCUAUGCUAAAAGGAGCGUUUGCUCCACUUCAAGAUGGGCUUGCGUUGUAUUAGGUUAGUUGGUGGGGUAAUCGGCCUACCAAGACAACGAUGCAUAUCCGAGCUGAGAGGCUGAUCGGACACACUGGGACUGAGACACGGCCCAGACUCCUACGGGAGACAGCAGUUAGGAAUAUUCGUCAAUGGGGGAAACCCUGAACGAGCAAUGCCGCGUGAGUGAAUGAAGGUCUUAUAGAUUGUAAAACUCUGUUGUAGAGAAAGAAACCUUAAGAUAGGAAAUGAUCUUAAGCUGACGGUACUCUACCAGAAAGCCCCGGCUAACUACGUGCCAGCCGCCGC
This 491-nucleotide ribosomal RNA is filed under the name uncultured bacterium. RNAcentral describes it as "bacterial SSU rRNA". It matches the Rfam family "Bacterial small subunit ribosomal RNA", at positions 47 to 518 of the family's 1533-position model. The record is from RNAcentral.